UACGUAGGGUGCGAGCGUUAAUCGGAAUUACUGGGCGUAAAGUGUGCGCAGGUGGCCGCGCAAGUCGAGUGUGAAAUCCCCGGGCUUAACCUGGGAAUGGCAUUUGGGACUGCAAGGCUGGAGUGUGGCAGAGGAGACUGGAAUUCCCGGCGUAGCAGUGAAAUGCGUAGAUAUCGGGAGGAAUACCGAUGGCGAAGGCAGGUCUCUGGGCUGACACUGACGCUCAUGCACGAAAGCGUGGGGAGCAAACAGG
This 253-nucleotide ribosomal RNA is filed under the name uncultured bacterium. RNAcentral describes it as "partial 16S ribosomal RNA". It matches the Rfam family "Bacterial small subunit ribosomal RNA", at positions 524 to 776 of the family's 1533-position model. The record is from RNAcentral.